AAAGAAAUAAAUCAAAAAGCUUCUAACUUUUAAAAAAGCAUUUCCAAUUGUUUAU
Molecule: transfer RNA, 55 nt
Filed under: Antennolycus constrictus
Lineage: Eukaryota; Metazoa; Arthropoda; Insecta; Coleoptera; Lycidae
Description: partial tRNA-Ser
Source: RNAcentral